This 964-nucleotide long non-coding RNA is filed under the name Pan troglodytes (chimpanzee). RNAcentral describes it as "long non-coding RNA NONPTRT008042". Lineage: Eukaryota; Metazoa; Chordata; Mammalia; Primates; Hominidae. The record is from RNAcentral.
UUAGCUGGGCGUGGUGGCACACGCCUGUAAUCCCAGCUACUCGGGAGGCUGAGGGAGGAGAAUUGCUUGAACCUGGGAGAUGGAGGGGGCAGUGAGCCGAGAUUGUGCCACUGCACUCUAGCGGGGCAACAGAGUGAGACUCCAUGUCAAUUGAAAAAAAAAAAAAUUAUGUGGUAAACAAUUAGUCAUAUGAAAACACUUCUAGGAGGUACCAAGUUUCAUCUCAUAAAAUGUAGCAUUAAACUCAGAAAUCAAGAUGAUAGGAUAUAGAAUACAGAUAAUCACCUCUACAAAUUUACCCUGCAAAGAGAGUAACUGAUGUUUUUAUGAAUCUGUGUAACUCACCACUUAUAUACCACGUUUUCUUAUAAAAAUGUAUUAAUUUUGUACAGCCAAAUAAAAUAGAUUUUCCCUAUUCUUUUCCUUGGUAGCAUUCUAAAAGCUAAGCCUUGGAAUUCUGUUGAAAAUCACUCAGCCAUAAAAUAAAAGACACCUGAGAAGAUUCCUAAACUCACUCUGGGAAAGAGAAAGGUCACGGAGCCACAGAGGCUGGACCUCUAGCAGCAGAGGACACUGAAGACUGAAGACGAGAAGCGGAGCUCCAACUGCAGCCAGAGACAAAGGCCCCGCCACAUCCCGGAAGCCACCCUGUCCUCUCCUGCCCCGUGCCUGAUUGGAUGGUUUCCAGCCCAGCGUCCCUGAUUGGAUAACUUCUAAGGUCCUGCCCCCGCAAACCCUGAAUGAAAGAUGUGAUCAGACGCUGGGCUGAAAGAAUAAAGAAUGACAGCCUAGGCUGCCGCCUUUUCAGGCAGGGCUUCCUCCCUGAGCAGAGCAGGCCCAACCCAGAGGGUAUUUGCCUUUAACCUUGUGUAUAAGGUCAUCUUCACUUAUAAGUAAUAUACUAUAUGGCUACUAAAAAAUGAAACUAAUUGUUUUUGAAUUUCAGCUUUUAUGACCUUCCUGG